AUAAGUCUUAUAAAAUAUAUAGAUUUAUGAUAAUUAAGACUGAGCUAACAGAUGAGGAAUCCUAGCCAUUGACCAGGCAACUUUGAACCUAAUACAAGUUUCUGUGUACUCAUUUGGGCUUAACUGGGGUGGGCGACUGGCGUAAAGCUCACAAGUGGUAGUGGGGCUCAGCUGGCUUUGGAGGAAAGAUUUAUUGUAACAUAGCAGUGUAUAAGUAAUCUGAUCAGGGAAAUGGGAAAGGGGGCUCUAAUUAGAGAGGGGAAUGGAGAUAAGUACAGAAGAAAGAUGGUAAAAUAACAGCAAGGAUUUCUGAAAAAGCCAUGAGAAAACAUAUUAACUACCAAAAGCAAGUAAGCAAACAAACAAACAAACAAAAUAUCCCCCAAAACUACAGUGCACAUAAGUCUAUAUAAAAUUAAUGUAUAGUUUAAUUAAAUUUUUUUAUCUGUGCCCUUCUUCACUUAGAGUGAUGCCAUUCCUGGACAGGUCCUUGCCUUGAAUUCUGUCAUCAAGGACUGUAACCUGUACGCCAGCCCAGGCCUGUGAACGGACUUCAGCAACAAUUAAGACCCACACAAUACAAUCCACUGGGGCAGGUGGAACUCAGUCAAACACAGCCCAGGAUUUCUAGAUCCUACCCAUGAGAGGACUCUAGCAACACCUCUCAACCAACCAGGAGCCCACCGAGGCAUGGAGAGGUAGGGCAGUGUUAUGAUCUUUUUGUGAUGAACAAGCAUGAUUUUUCCCAGCACCAUGAUGGACUGAACAGAUUAAGGAAAAGCACAUGCAGGCCUGGGGUGGUCCUGCCAGUGAUCCAAGGAGAAAACGUGUCCACCUAGCACCUUGCAGUACCAGGUAGAUGGGCACUAUUGUGUGAGCAAAUGUAUUGUGUGAUAUGGGAGAAAGAGACAGAAUGGUUUAUGUCCCAUGAACAGGCAUAUCUUAAGAGGUGACUUUGCAAUGAACACUUGCAAGUGAAGAUAUAUGGAUAGAAGGAUUUACUGCAGGACUCACUAUGUCAUACUGCAGCUUCAAUGAUGAAGAGUUUUCAUUUUUUUCUUUUAAAAUUUAUUCUAUGGGGGGUGUUGCACAGGCAGAGGGCAGAUAUUAAGGAAUGGGGAAAUGAAUGGGAUCAAGAUGCAUUAUGUGAAAGACACAAAGAACAAAUAAAAAGAAAGUAAAAAUAGUUAACUAUAGAAUUAGGGACUAAAUUCUGAAUUUAGAUCUAAAGAAAAUAGAUUUGCUGUCCCCUGGCCAACUUAGAAGUUCAUUUCUUUUCUUUGUCAUGACUGAAGAUUGAGUCUUCCAGGGUGAAGGUCCCAAAGCAGAAAGAGAACUCUUAGGGGUGCUGAUGGCAGUGCUGGCUGCUUCUCUCUGCUAUUUUUUGUUUCGUAUUUCAAUUACUGUUACUUUCCUGUAUAUGUUGCUGUUACUAAACCUUCUUCUUCUAGUUGAGGGGGUUCCCCUUAUUAUUUUAAACUCAAGUCUGUGAGUAUUGAAUGGGCAUACAUGUGAACAGGAUAUGAUGUCGU
RNAcentral lists this long non-coding RNA (1532 nucleotides) under Cricetulus griseus (Chinese hamster). RNAcentral describes it as "lncRNA (ENSCGRG00015042320.1)". Lineage: Eukaryota; Metazoa; Chordata; Mammalia; Rodentia; Cricetidae. The record is from RNAcentral.